UUUAUUAUCAAUUGCUUUUAAAGUUAAAUUCAGUUCAGUUAAAUUAUUUUAGUAGCAUGUUAUAUUUUUAUUACAUGUUUCAGUAUAAUUAAAGUUAUUUCUAAAAACCACCAGAAAGUAUCCAGGUGAUUUUACCCCAGUUUGCACCGAUGUGAAUGUGUUUCCACAGUGUAUGACUAGUUAUAGUGAUUUUACCCGCUCUGCACUAUCGUGAAUGUGUUUCCAUAGUGUAUGACUAUAUUAUCAGAGGUCUUUGGGACCCACUCUUGUACACACAUAGGCUUUGGGCCGUGUACUAGGGUGAUUAGCCUUUGGGGCAGCUCUGCGUACGUAUGACCAGAUUAUCAGAUUAUUAGCUAUCAGAUUAUUAGAUUUGAAUAGUUUUGCCUUGUACAUCGAGAUUACUUUGUACAUGUGUAGGCUAUGCAUUGGGUAUUCUUUUUGGUGUGAUUUUUUAGUAUUUAUUCAGUUCUCAGAUUUCAGAUUUGGAAUUCAGUUAAUUCAGUUUUCAGAAUAAAGCUUUCAGUUUCUAGUAUUGAGCAGCAGCAAUAUUUCAUAGAUUUUCAUGAAUAUCAGAUUUUUUAUAUUUGUUAUAUCUUACAGAUACUUAUCUAGAAUUUAGAACAAAGAAUUUUAUGAUGUAUUCAUGUUUGAUUGUAAAAAAUGUUACCAGAUUUCAGAAUUUCUUAAAGUUUCAAUAGAGCAAGGAUUUUUAGAAAAUAUGCAUAAAUGGAAAAAGUUUACUUAUUUGCAAAUCAUCCACUCACUGAGUUACAGGCUCACAUUUUUUUUUUUUACAAUUUCUCUUAUCAGAUAGUAGCUGAGUUGAGUACUACUGGGCCAGUUGAUCUAUCGAGUUGAACUAUAAAUUGUUACGCAUUGUAUGACUCAUCUUAUCUGUUUAAUAGCUCAUAUUUUGGAAUAGACAUCUCUUUUGGUCAGAAAUUAGUUCCAUGUUUUGGGCCUGCUAUGUUUUGUAUAUAUUAUGCAUUUUGGGUACUGUGAUUUAUAAAUUGUUGCAAAGGUUAAAUUGCCAGUGAUGUAUUUGAAUAGUUGAUUUUCUGUGAG
RNAcentral lists this long non-coding RNA (1068 nucleotides) under Olea europaea subsp. europaea. Lineage: Eukaryota; Viridiplantae; Streptophyta; Magnoliopsida; Lamiales; Oleaceae. The record is from RNAcentral.